AGAGUUUGAUUAUGGCUCAGGAUGAACGCUGGCGGCGUGCCUAAUACAUGCAAGUCGAACGGGGAGUAUUAAUUUCGAUUUUUACUCCUAGUGGCGAACGGGUGAGUAACGCGUUGGUGACCUGCCCCGAAGAGGGGGACAACAGCUCGAAAGGGCUGCUAAUACCCCAUGUGGUCGUACAGGUUAGAGGCUGAACGACUAAAGGAGUAAUCCACUUCGGGAGGGGCCUGCGUCCCAUCAGCUAGUUGGUAAGGUAACGGCCUACCAAGGCGAAGACGGGUAGGGGGCCUGAGAGGGUGGCCCCCCACACUGGCACUGAAACACGGGCCAGACACCUACGGGUGGCAGCAGUAGGGAAUAUUGCACAAUGGGCGAAAGCCUGAUGCAGCAACGCCGCGUGCGCGAAGAAGGCCUUCGGGUUGUAAAGCGCUUUUCUGGAGGAAGAGAAAGGACGGUACUCCAGGAAUAAGGAUCGGCUAACUACGUGCCAGCAGCCGCGGUAACACGUAGGAUCCGAGCGUUAUCCGAAUUUACUGGGCGUAAAGCGCGUGUAGGCGGCCGGGUAAGUUGGACGUGAAAGCUCCUGGCUCAACUAGGAGAGGUCGUUCAAAACUGCCUGGCUAGAGGGCGACAGAGGGAGGUGGAAUUCCCGGUGUAGUGGUGAAAUGCGUAGAUAUCGGGAGGAACACCAGUGGCGAAGGCGGCCUCCUGGGUCGCCCCUGACGCUCAGACGCGAAAGCUAGGGGAGCAAACGGGAUUAGAUACCCCGGUAGUCCUAGCUGUAAACGAUGUGGACUUGGCGUUGGUGGGG
RNAcentral lists this ribosomal RNA (811 nucleotides) under uncultured Chloroflexota bacterium. RNAcentral describes it as "bacterial SSU rRNA". It matches the Rfam family "Bacterial small subunit ribosomal RNA", at positions 8 to 831 of the family's 1533-position model. Lineage: Bacteria; Bacillati; Chloroflexota. The record is from RNAcentral.